This 504-nucleotide ribosomal RNA is filed under the name Penaeus penicillatus. Its description in RNAcentral is "partial 16S ribosomal RNA". It matches the Rfam family "Bacterial large subunit ribosomal RNA", at positions 1838 to 2590 of the family's 2925-position model. Lineage: Eukaryota; Metazoa; Arthropoda; Malacostraca; Decapoda; Penaeidae. The record is from RNAcentral.
GAUUGUUAUAUAAAGUCUAGCCUGCCCACUGAUUUAGUUUAAAGGGCCGCGGUAUAUUGACCGUGCGAAGGUAGCAUAAUCAUUAGUCUUUUAAUUGAAGGCUUGUAUGAAUGGUUGGACAAAAAGUAAGCUGUCUCAAUUAUAAUGAUUGAACUUAACUUUUAAGUGAAAAGGCUUAAAUAAAUUAAGGGGACGAUAAGACCCUAUAAAGCUUGACAAUAAUUUAAUUAUACUAUCAAUUGUUAGUAUAACUUGGUUUUAAUUAAGAUUUGUUGCGUUGGGGCGACGAGAAUAUAAUAGGUAACUGUUCUUAAAUAUUUAAUAACAAAUAUAAUUGAAAAUUAGUGUGAUCCUCUAUUAGCGAUUAAAAGAUUAAGUUACUUUAGGGAUAACAGCGUAAUCUUCUUUGAGAGUCCCUAUCGACAAGAAGGUUUGCGACCUCGAUGUUGAAUUAAGGUAUCCUUAUGAUGCAGCAGUUAUAAAGGAAGGUCUGUUCGACCUUUA